Molecule: ribosomal RNA, 253 nt
Filed under: uncultured bacterium
Lineage: Bacteria
Description: partial 16S ribosomal RNA
Rfam family: Bacterial small subunit ribosomal RNA
Source: RNAcentral
UACGUAGGGUGCGAGCGUUGUCCGGAUUUAUUGGGCGUAAAGGGCUCGUAGGCGGUUUGUCGCGUCUGCUGUGAAAACCUAGGGCUUAACCCUGGGCCUGCAGUGGGUACGGGCAGACUAGAGUGCGGUAGGGGAGACUGGAAUUCCUGGUGUAGCGGUGAAAUGCGCAGAUAUCAGGAGGAACACCGGUGGCGAAGGCGGGUCUCUGGGCCGAUACUGACGCUGAGGUGCGAAAGCGUGGGGAGCAAGCAGG